Molecule: long non-coding RNA, 1356 nt
Filed under: Helianthus annuus (common sunflower)
Lineage: Eukaryota; Viridiplantae; Streptophyta; Magnoliopsida; Asterales; Asteraceae
Description: hypothetical non coding rna
Source: RNAcentral
ACCCAUAUCUGGGCGUGGAACGAUCGAACAGAGAGGGGAAAGAAAGGGGUGAAACCCUAAUUCAUGAGCAGACCUUCAAAUUGAAAGGGGAAUUGAAGCCUAGUUGAAUGCAUGAACUAAGAAUGAUGAUCCUCUAAGCAUACCCAACAUCAAUAUGAAUGUAUGUUGGAACGUGUCAAGGAGAGGUCAAGCAUAGGAGGAUAACGGGUCAAGAUAAGGCAAGGUGACAAAUACACUUAUUGGAGUACUCGAGGUAAGUGAAUUUCGAUUCACUUUUUAGUAGGUUUAAUAGAUUUUAAUACUUAUGUUUACGAAACAUCAUGAAAGAACAUGUAAUAAUCAGAAGUACAAAGCCAAUAAUGCCUCAUUAUUGAAGAAGGUUGUAUUUAAGCCGAAAGUAAAUUGGUAGGUUUAAACGGGUCGAAUUUUAUGUGCAUAUGUUGCGUAAUGUAAUGAAAUUCGUUAUGGUUAAGACCUUGGGUAAGAAUUUUUAGUCAUUAUGUAAGGGGAACAUUUCCCGGACCAUUAGGAACAAGUUUUAUAUGAUUCGGUUGUCGGUUAGUGAAUGAACGGAUUGUUUCGUGUUAGUGUAGGAAAUUUUAUAAGUAUAUGUGUAUAGGAAUCCAAAGGGCACGUGGGUUGAAUCAUAGAUUGUCUAUACUAUGUAAAGUUGUGAAUGUGACAUUCCGGCAUAAACCUACAUGUAAAAGAAGCUUGUGUAUAUAUUCGUGAUUAAUUGAUUGUGCGUAGGAAGGAACAUUGGCAUGUAUGAAGGUACGCAUGUAUAUAUAUAAGUGUAUAUAUAUAUAUAUAUAUAUGUAUGUAUGUAUGAUAAUAAGUACGUAAGUGUGAAUGUAUGUGUGAAUGAAUGUUCAAUGCUUAAGACAUAUGCAUGAACGUUAUCAAAGUGUUCGAGUAUUUAUGGUUACUAAUGAUGUGCGUUGAGUUGGAAUGUAAUGUAGUUAUGGGAUCGUUGGCUUCAUGAAGAAAUGGAGCUGGAUUUGGAUAAGAGUAUUAAGAAAGCGCUUGGACAAUUCCACGACUACUUUAUAGAAUGCUCUACGAAACUCUAUUAUAUAGUUUAAUGUUGUAUAGUAUGUUAAUGACUAAUGGUUUGGUUGUACGUGGUGUCCACAGGUAUCGCUUGGGUUUUCUCUACAUUUAUUGAAGUGAAGCGGACUUAGUUCGAGUUGAGAGCAAGGAUUGUACGGGGUAGAAUGGUCACAUAGUGUAACUCAUAUAGGUUUUGAAGUAUUAAUGUUAUAAAACGUUAUAAAUCCGUUUUAAUGAAUAUAUGGUAUUUCGCAUUUGAACCUUCAUGUGUUUGAUAUGUCUAUUAAAGAACGAAAUUUUUGG